RNAcentral lists this long non-coding RNA (932 nucleotides) under Ananas comosus (pineapple). RNAcentral describes it as "long non-coding RNA (ACOM_LNC028512)". The record is from RNAcentral. Lineage: Eukaryota; Viridiplantae; Streptophyta; Magnoliopsida; Poales; Bromeliaceae.
ACUUUUGAUUAAAAAAAAUUUAUUUGGCCCUCAAAUUUUUAAAUUCUGACAUUCAUCAUUUAAAACUUUCAGACUUCGUUUGGUUCAGGCAUAAACAAGAACUAGUUAUACCGGAGAUAGGUAUAAGUAUGAAUUUUCGUAGGAACAAGAAUAUUUUUUGUUUGGAUGAAAAUGUAAGUAUAAAGUGGAAUAGUUGGUAGUUAUAAAUAUAAAACAACGAUAUUACCCUAUAAUUGAAUUUAAAUUUUUAAACUUAUAAUCUUAAAUUAAAAAUUUUAAUUUUUAAAUUUUAAAUUUUGAAAUUAAAUUUAAAAUUGUAAUUUUCAAAAUUUUAAUUUUAAAUAUCAAAUUUUAAAUUUAAGACUAAAUUUAAAUUUGAAAGAUAUAAAAUAUCAAAUUUAAAAUUUAAAAACUAAAAAUAUCAUAUUUAAAAUUUAAAAAUAUCAAAUUUAAAAUUUAAAUUUUAUAAUUUAAAAUUUAAAAUUUAAAAUUUAAAAUUAUAAAUUAUAAAGUUUAGAAAUUUAAAUUUAAAAUAAAAAUCUCUCUCUCUCUCUCUCAUACCAGGAGCGGAUAGGAACAACUUGUUCCCACCCAACCCGAUACAAAGGGGGCUUGUACCGGGUAGGUGGGAACAAGUGUUCCCACCCAUCCAAAAUCAUGUAACUACCGUUUGGUUCGGAUAUAAGCAAGAACUAGCUAUUAUAGGAAGAGAUACAAGUAUGGGGAUAAGAAAAAUAACGUUUGGAUGAAAAUUGGGUUGUUCCCGGGGAUAAAAAAAAUAUUAAGUAGUUUUAUAUAGAAAAUGGAGGUGUUGGUGGGGAUAAUCGAGAACUACUAUUCUCGGAUAAAAAAUUAGCGUUUGGGUAUAAAGGGGGGAUAAGGGUCUAUUCCUAUUCCUAUCCCCUAACCAAACGCCGCUGUUAACUGAUACA